This 463-nucleotide ribosomal RNA is filed under the name uncultured soil bacterium. RNAcentral describes it as "bacterial SSU rRNA". It matches the Rfam family "Bacterial small subunit ribosomal RNA", at positions 26 to 518 of the family's 1533-position model. The record is from RNAcentral.
AGAACGAACGCUGGCGGCAUGCCUAACACAUGCAAGUCGAACGAGACCUUCGGGUCUAGUGGCGCACGGGUGCGUAACGCGUGGGAAUCUGCCCUUGGGUUCGGAAUAACAGUUGGAAACGACUGCUAAUACCGGAUGAUGACGUAAGUCCAAAGAUUUAUCGCCCAGGGAUGAGCCCGCGUAGGAUUAGCUAGUUGGUGAGGUAAAGGCUCACCAAGGCGACGAUCCAUAGCUGGUCUGAGAGGAUGAUCAGCCACACUGGGACUGAGACACGGCCCAGACUCCUACGGGAGGCAGCAGUGGGGAAUAUUGGACAAUGGGCGAAAGCCUGAUCCAGCAAUGCCGCGUGAGUGAUGAAGGCCUUAGGGUGUAAGCACUUAAGUUGGAGAGGCAGUUACCUAAUACGUAUCUGUUUGACGUUACCGACAGAAUAAGCACCGGCUAACUCUGUGCCAGCAGCCGC